This is a long non-coding RNA of Oxyura jamaicensis (ruddy duck), 1385 nucleotides long. RefSeq lists it as uncharacterized. The transcript is spliced from 2 exons. The record is from RefSeq and is a predicted model, not a curated record. NCBI's taxonomy places the organism in Eukaryota, Metazoa, Chordata, Aves, Anseriformes, Anatidae.
CCCAGCUCAUUACAGGAAGCAAAUCUGCAGAUGAAAACAUGAAAUAGAACCAGAUCCUGCUAGAGCAUCAAACAUGAAAUAUGCCAGCGCCGCUCCACAGACGGCAUAAUCAAUGCCCUUCUUCCCACAGCAAAACCACCGAAAUUCUUUGUUCCUGCGCAUAGUCGUCCCAAAUCUCUACAGUUCAUCACUUCCUCCAGCAGAUGAGAUACCCCCCCAGAAACCAUGAUCUUCCGACCACCACAGCUACAACAACACUUCUACUGUCUUGCCUGCUCUAACUGAUUCUUCUAGAUUCUUUUAUCUAUAAAAUAGAAUAAGAUAAAACAUAUUCUGUAUCGAUUCUUCUGCUGUUUUCACAACCAUAAUAUUCAAGCACCUUCUAGGACUACAUUAACUGAUCAACUGUCACGUGUAGGGUUUGUUUUUCUUUGUCUUGUUCUCUCUCCCCAGGAAGAAAAUGAUGCACAGAGCAGUGCUCUGGUUUUGUGAGUUGCUUUUUUUCCCCUCCUCUAUUCUUGUUGCUCUGCAUUUGUACCAGAGAAAAUGAGGAUGACGGCAAUUUCUGUGAGAGACCUUAUUUCCCAGGGAAGUUAAUUUCAGAGUGUUGAGCCACCCGUAGAAAGAUGUCUCCUGCACAAAGGAACAUUAUAAUAUGCCAUUCCCAACCAGAGAAAAGCUAAUCUGUAUUCUUGAUACUUGGGACAGAAACUUCCUAAAAUAAAAUAAAAUAAAAUAAAAUAAAAAAGCUUUUCUUUUCCCCUUCUCCAGAAAGAGAGUUUCGACCCGUGAUGCUCAGUAUGCGAGGUUCCGACAGAUUGCUGCGAAUUAUUAACGUGCAGGCCAGCACUCCGCACGGCUAUAAACAGGACUAUCUGGAAACCACAAAGGGUAACAUACUUUUAAUCGCACCGAAACACGCUGCCAUAGGACUGCUUGGAGGGAGACGGUGGAAAUAAAUUAUUUCUUGCUAAAACACAGAGGGCGUUUACUCACGUGUAAGGAGUCACGCUGCCGCUCCUCGAAGAGGAACCCUCAGCAAUCCCACGUGUCUGAAAGGCAGCAGGCACAACAUAGGAGCUACUGAAAGGUAGAAACCGAGGUGAAGAGAGGAAUCAUCUGUGCUCAGGCACUGAAAGCAGAAAUACUGAAGACCUCAGGGAGACAGUAGACAGCAGAUUUAAUAUGUUUUUGCAAUGUGAUACGGCAGCAAAAAUCAUGCAGUUAAUUUAAUUUGGGGUUGUAAAGGCAGAGACCUCUUCUCAGAGAUAUAGGCAAUAGUCCCGUUUUUUAAUAUAGUGGCGAGACCGCAGUUUGAAGACAUGUUUAGUUCUGGACAGCUCGGUGCUAGCUAGAUGUCAACAACUUGGAGGGAAAUAAAAAAA